GACUGAUGGCCGGCUGCUGUG
Molecule: non-coding RNA, 21 nt
Filed under: Mus musculus (house mouse)
Lineage: Eukaryota; Metazoa; Chordata; Mammalia; Rodentia; Muridae
Source: RNAcentral